This 434-nucleotide ribosomal RNA is filed under the name uncultured Lachnospiraceae bacterium. RNAcentral describes it as "bacterial SSU rRNA". It matches the Rfam family "Bacterial small subunit ribosomal RNA", at positions 341 to 792 of the family's 1533-position model. Lineage: Bacteria; Bacillati; Bacillota; Clostridia; Lachnospirales; Lachnospiraceae. The record is from RNAcentral.
ACGGAAGGCAGCAGUGGGGAAUAUUGCACAAUGGGGGAAACCCUGAUGCAGCGACGCCGCGUGAGUAAAGAAGUACUUCGGUAUGUAAAGCUCUAUCAGCAGGGAAGAAAGUGACGGUACCUGAGUAAGAAGCCCCGGCUAACUACGUGCCAGCAGCCGCGGUAAUACGUAGGGGGCAAGCGUUAUCCGGAUUUACUGGGUGUAAAGGGAGCGUAGACGGAGCAGCAAGUCUGGAGUGAAAACCCGGGGCUCAACCCCGGGACUGCUUUGGAAACUGUUGUUCUAGAGUGCUGGAGAGGUAAGUGGAAUUCCUAGUGUAGCGGUGAAAUGCGUAGAUAUUAGGAGGAACACCAGUGGCGAAGGCGGCUUGCUGGACAGUAACUGACGUUGAGGCUCGAAAGCGUGGGGAGCAAACAGGAUUAGAUACCCUGGUA